This 1350-nucleotide long non-coding RNA is filed under the name Chinchilla lanigera (long-tailed chinchilla). RNAcentral describes it as "lncRNA (ENSCLAG00000027309.1)". The record is from RNAcentral. Lineage: Eukaryota; Metazoa; Chordata; Mammalia; Rodentia; Chinchillidae.
UGAUUCUAUGGCAGUUUGUAGCCUCCACAUAGAAGCAGCAAAAACAGGAAGUGAUCUCAAUUCCAUAGGCUACUUCAGCUUCUGCCAGAAACCAAUGCCUUAGCCAUAACUAAAAGUGCAGAACUAGCUCUACUUCCUGUGAGUAAUCAAAACAGGAAAUAGACAUAUGAAAUGUGGGUGAUGGUCUCAUCAAAAAUCUCCAAUCUCUUAUGUCAAAGAGAAAUAUUCAGACCACCAACCUACUCUUCUCCUCGUGGGCUGUAGUCUCAUUGAUAAUAGGUGUCUUCAUGAAAGAAUGGGUUGAAUUAGUCCCCAAAAUAAAAAAGGUCAAGAUUAGCCACAGUCCAUGGAUGACAUGCUGCACUACCAUUUGGCCAGAAGAUAGCCUGAAAGUGGUCAGGAUCAUGAUGGUGUUGGUUCUCUGCCUUUCCUUCUUCCUUAACUUGAUCCUGGGUAUGCAAUACACCUAUGUGAUUCCUCAGAACAGAUAUAUACAGCUCAUCAUUGCCUUCAGCUGUUUCCUCACAGGUUUUCUCUGUCUACUACAGUGCAAGCAACCCAUCCAUAGUUGUACCUGCCAGAAAAUUCACUCAUCUACUGAACAGUGUAUAGAUAAACAGCUCUGUGGGCAGUCUAUCCAAGUUAUUUCGCUUCCAGAGAGCACUGCAAUGCCGCGGGGCAUUGUCCGUCUAUCCUCCCAGCAAUCAAAGGAAGAUUCUGCGAACAAAGAACAUCUCCAAAAGCGUCAUGUGACCUGGGCUCUAUGACUGGACAAUCUACCUUCCAUGUGUGCCCAUCUUUAUGGACACAGCUUUCUGAGCAUGCGCCUUGCUGUGUGCAUCUCCAGCCAUUUGGUCUGGGUUCGGCAUUAUGGAAGUGACUGUGAGUGGGUUGGAGAUGCAAAGAGAUGUAGAAAGAAAUGCAGAAAACGGCUUUUUUUAAUCCUGGCAUGCUAAACAAAUAUCUUUUUCUACAGUAUUUGUUAUUGAUAUGAUAAAUAUAUAAAUACUACUUGCUGUAUUAUUAAUUCUGUAUAGAAAAAUAUUUAUAAUGGUACAGUAUUUUUUAUUUUUUGUGUAAUAUAUAUUUUCAUUAGCACAUGUUUGUGAUACCUAAUAAUUACACUUAUCUUGGGGAAUAUAUAUAUAUAUAUAUAUAUAUAUAUAUAUAUAUUUCACAUCUUGAUCAUUUUAUUACUCCCACUUUCCAUAGCCACUGCCCUCCCUCUCCCACCUUUCCCAGAUCUUUGCCGUCUCCACCAUCUACCUUCCUAUUUCCUACCAUUUCUUUUUUAUUUUGCUAUUUGAAUUAUUUAUAUUUUGAGUUUCUUAUAUUAGAGGAACUAUGCAA